This 1188-nucleotide ribosomal RNA is filed under the name uncultured bacterium. RNAcentral describes it as "bacterial SSU rRNA". It matches the Rfam family "Bacterial small subunit ribosomal RNA", at positions 8 to 1203 of the family's 1533-position model. The record is from RNAcentral.
AGAGUUUGAUCCUGGCUCAGAUUGAACGCUAGCGGCAUGCUUAACACAUGCAAGUCGAACGGCAGCGCGGGGAGCUUGCUCCCUGGCGGCGAGUGGCGGACGGGUGAGUAACGCGUAGGAAUCUGCCUUGUAGUGGGGGAUAACCCGGGGAAACUCGGGGUAAUACCGCAUAAUCUCUUCGGAGCAAAGCGAGGGAUCUUCGGACCUCGUGCUAUAAGAUGAGCCUGCGUCGGAUUAGCUUGUUGGUGGGGUAAAGGCCUACCAAGGCGACGAUCCGUAGCUGGUCUGAGAGGACGAUCAGCCACACUGGGACUGAGACACGGCCCAGACUCCUACGGGAGGCAGCAGUGGGGAAUAUUGGACAAUGGGGGCAACCCUGAUCCAGCAAUGCCGCGUGUGUGAAGAAGGCCUUAGGGUUGUAAAGCACUUUCAGCGGGGAAGAAAGGCUCAAGGUUAAUAGCCUUGAGAGUUGACGUUACCCGCAGAAGAAGCACUGGCUAACUCUGUGCCAGCAGCCGCGGUAAUACAGAGAGUGCAAGCGUUAAUCGGAAUUACUGGGCGUAAAGCGCGCGUAGGUGGAUACUUAAGUCGGAUGUGAAAGCCCUGGGCUUAACCUAGGAACUGCAUUCGAUACUGGGUAUCUUGAGUAUGGUAGAGGGAAGUGGAAUUUCCAGUGUAGCGGUGAAAUGCGUAGAUAUCGGAAAGAACACCAGUGGCGAAGGCGGCUUCCUGGACCAAUACUGACACUGAGGUGCGAAAGCGUGGGGAGCAAACAGGAUUAGAGACCCUGGUAGUCCACGCAGUCAACGAUGAGAACUAGCUGUUGGGAGGGUCUUCCUCUUAGUAGCGAAGCUAACGCGUUAAGUUCUCCGCCUGGGGGAGUACGGGCGCAAGGUUAAAACUCAAAGGAAUUGACGGGGCCCGCACAAGCGGUGGAGCAUGGUGGUUUAAUUCGAUGCAACGCGAAGAACCUUACCUACUCUUGACAUCCUUGGGAUCUCUGGAGAAAGAGGAGUGCUUCGGGACAAGUGACAGGUGCUGCAUGGCUGUCGUCAGCUCGUGUCUGAGAUGUGGGUCAGUCCGUUACGAGGCGCACCCUCGUCUAGCUGCCAGCGAUCCGUGGUACUCUAAGGAGAAACUGCAGGUAUACGGAGAGGAUGCGGAUGAUGUCAGGUCAUCUGUGCCUUA